Molecule: unclassified non-coding RNA, 248 nt
Filed under: plant metagenome
Description: partial contains small subunit ribosomal RNA, internal transcribed spacer 1, and 5.8S ribosomal RNA
Source: RNAcentral
UCUCCGUGGGUGAACCUGCGGAGGGAUCAUUACAGAGUUCUCGCCCUCGCGGGUAGAUCUCCCACCCACUGUUAUCGUUACUGUGUUGCUUUGGCGGGCCGCCGGGCCCCGCUCGGCCGCCGGCUCCGGCUGGCGCGCGCCCGCCAGAGGCCCAGCAAACUCUGAAUGUUAGUGUCGUCUGAGUACUAUAUAAUAGUUAAAACUUUCAACAACGGAUCUCUUGGUUCUGGCAUCGAGAAGAACGCAGC